CCAGAGCCUUCCAUAUGAUCGAACUCAUUUAUAUUACUUUCCCUGGGAUCUUUUCUUGCUUGGUUCAGUUUUCUUCUAAGGACAUAAUACAAACCAACUUCAUCAUUUCUGAAAAUACAGACACAAUGCAAUCCCAACUUUCUAUGCAAUGAGAAAGCGAUUCUGAGACAGUGAUGCAUAAAGGAAAAUGGAGAUAAAGAUAUCUGAGGCAGUUCGGUACAGUGAAGACUGGAAGAUCCAAGACAGAAGGGAUAUGGAUUAAAGUCCUCCACUUUUAAUGACAUGAACCCUUAAUUUCUUUGUAAGCUAUUAAAGAGUAAGUCACUAAACCAAACUUGAACAUAAGUUUCUUUUAUUUUUUUUGUAAAAAUGAAGAUAGCAAACAGAUCGACUAUUUCAAAGGGUUGUUGUAAAAAUUACAUAGAUAUAACAUAUGUAUAGUCUUUUGAUGUUGAGAAGAAUAAGAAGGUUAAGUCAAGAGAAUAUAUUCAAUCCCCACAAUGUUUUUCUUCACCACUUGGCAAGAAUAGGUAACAAUGCAG
This 542-nucleotide long non-coding RNA is filed under the name Monodelphis domestica (gray short-tailed opossum). Its description in RNAcentral is "lncRNA (ENSMODG00000040508.1)". Lineage: Eukaryota; Metazoa; Chordata; Mammalia; Didelphimorphia; Didelphidae. The record is from RNAcentral.